RNAcentral lists this ribosomal RNA (378 nucleotides) under Triticum aestivum (bread wheat). Its description in RNAcentral is "partial small subunit ribosomal RNA". The record is from RNAcentral. Lineage: Eukaryota; Viridiplantae; Streptophyta; Magnoliopsida; Poales; Poaceae.
AUGACCACACUUAUUGACCGUUGGAGGCCAGAGACACACUCAUUCCACUUGUCAUGUGGAGAGAUGACCGUGACCUUGGAGGACAUGGCGAUGAUCAGUGGCCUUCCAAUCAAUGGAGAAGCUUUGACCGGUUGCAACAGGAACAACAAGAGGAGCAACUGCAAGAAGAGCCAGAGCAAGACGAAGAGGAGUACAAUCAAGAUGAAGAGGAGUACAAUCAAGACGAAGAGGAGCUGCUUGGGAUGUCCCAAAUGGAUGAUGCGCCGCAGCCAUCACAGCCCACACAAUGCACGCCGCGCAGCAAAGGAGGAAGGAAGAAGUGAAUUAGUUAAUACUAGAUUCUUGCGAACUUUGUUAUGUUUGAUUCGUGAACUUUAG